CACAAGUUUGAAUAGAAUACGAUUUCUUAAUGUUUUUAGGAACUUUCAGAUUGUAGUAUUUUUUGAAGUAGUCUUUGAAUAUUUCCAUGCUUCUGGAUAGAUAUUGAGGUCCUUCUGCUUGAAUGUAUAGAGUUCGUUUUUGAUUUAAUGGACUCGAGAAGGCGAGAAAAAUUUCAAAUGAAUUUCUGUACCAUAUCAUUCUACGAAAUGAUGUUCCUAGAAAGUAGUGUGAUUAACUAUUCUUGUGCGCCUUCCUUUAAAGUAUGAGGGAAUAGACACAGUUAAAAAGCGUCAACUGACUACCUUCGUGUUGAUCACCUUGCAAAUCAUCAAGAAGGCUUGAAUAUGUUCGUGGAGAUUUUUAGUUGAUUUUUUAGAGAACUUAAUGUCGUGAUAAUUUUGAAAUAGACUGAUGAUGUCGGGUCUAAUGUGGAAGUUGACAUGUCCAAAAGUUGGAUAUAUAUUAGGUGGUCACAUAGGAGCAGGUUUGAGAUUUACAUAAUCCCUUACUAAUAUUUCACCAUCGUAGGCAACUGUUCUUGGUGGAUCUGGCUGUGCUGGUGGAUCUGACUGUAACUGAAUUUGAUUUUGAUUUUGAUUUUUUGUCAUUUUUCUUGCUUCUCUCUUUUCUCUUUUUCAUUAUCUGAAAGUUCUUUCGAUGUCGAGAUUCAAUGGUAAGAGAUCGAUUUCUUCAUAAUCUUGCACAAAGUGUUAAAAAAAAAAAUGGAGGGAUUAUCUAUGUAAUUACUAGCCUGAAACAAAAUUAAAAAAAAAAUAAAAUGAAUCUUAUAUAAACUAAUAAAUUCAAAUUAAAUACUUUAUUCCCUGAUAGCAAUGUUAAAAGCUUGUUUGUGAUAAUUUGAUAAGCUUAUGAGAUCGUUGACAAGUAAUAGUUGUGAUGAGAUAGAGUAUGUUCUACACAGAAUAAAUUUUGAUUCAAGUUUACUAGUCUUGUAUUGAAUUCGAAGUAUAUAACAAAAAGGAGAUUUGAUUUAGAAUUAUG
This 1003-nucleotide long non-coding RNA is filed under the name Olea europaea subsp. europaea. The record is from RNAcentral. Lineage: Eukaryota; Viridiplantae; Streptophyta; Magnoliopsida; Lamiales; Oleaceae.